This 448-nucleotide ribosomal RNA is filed under the name uncultured bacterium. RNAcentral describes it as "bacterial SSU rRNA". It matches the Rfam family "Bacterial small subunit ribosomal RNA", at positions 330 to 795 of the family's 1533-position model. The record is from RNAcentral.
GCCAGACUCCUACGGGAGGCAGCAGUGGGGAAUAUUGCACAAUGGGGGAAACCCUGAUGCAGCGACGCCGCGUGAGUGAAGAAGUAUUUCGGUAUGUAAAGCUCUAUCAGCAGGGAAGAUAAUGACGGUACCUGACUAAGAAGCCCCGGCUAACUACGUGCCAGCAGCCGCGGUAAUACGUAGGGGGCAAGCGUUAUCCGGAUUUACUGGGUGUAAAGGGUGCGCAGGUGGCAGGGCAAGUCAGAUGUGAAAGCCCGGGGCUCAACCCCGGUAUUGCAUUUGAAACUGUCCGGCUAGAGUGCAGGAGAGGUAAGCGGAAUUCCUAGUGUAGCGGUGAAAUGCGUAGAUAUUAGGAGGAACACCAGUGGCGAAGGCGGCUUACUGGACUGUAACUGACACUGAGGCACGAAAGCGUGGGGAGCAAACAGGAUUAGAUACCCCGGUAAUA